UUUAAAGAAAAACAACCCAUAUUUGAAUAGAUUAGAACAACCUUCAAAUGGAUUAACAGUGUUUUUUCCCCAUUUCUUGUAUAGUAGAAUUGUUAUUUUUUAGCUGGCUUCAAAAUGUCAAAUCUCUUGUCUAGAAUGAAAACCCAGCACUUGGAAGAUGUCAGCAUUCUUCAUACCAGAGAAGACCACCUGAGGCCAGACUAAAGGAACUGGAGAAGCUCAUCAAGAUUACCUGGGACCACAUUUAGGGAAUGCAGGUGCUGCUGGCCUCUCAUUUCCCUAAGGAUGUGUGGCCAAGUUCAUUGUCCUGUAGAGGCUCCGAUCGUGUCACACCCAGCAUCCAGUCUGCUUUCCUGUGACCUACAGACUAAAGGCAGACACCUCAAAUCACUUCCUGCCCUACUGGAUGUAAACAAAUACAAACACAACACAAACCAGCUGAGAAGCAAACUCCCC
Bubalus bubalis (water buffalo) is the source of this 456-nucleotide long non-coding RNA. RefSeq lists it as uncharacterized. NCBI's taxonomy places the organism in Eukaryota, Metazoa, Chordata, Mammalia, Artiodactyla, Bovidae. The transcript is spliced from 3 exons. The record is from RefSeq and is a predicted model, not a curated record.